RNAcentral lists this long non-coding RNA (230 nucleotides) under Setaria italica (foxtail millet). RNAcentral's name for it is "long non-coding RNA (SITA_LNC000238)". The record is from RNAcentral. Lineage: Eukaryota; Viridiplantae; Streptophyta; Magnoliopsida; Poales; Poaceae.
GGACCUCCAUGUCCCAACUAAAUCCCUAGUGGACUCAUAAGAAUUCAAUACUCAGUGUUCUAUUUUGUUGGUUCUUACUCUCCGACACGGGCAAGGCAAACCAUAGGGGCUGGGUUUACUGUAACAAUCAGUGUUCUAUUUUGUUGAGUUCAGGAAGGUUCCGCUUCACGUACCAUUUCUCAAAAAUUUCCUGGGCAGAAAUGUUGUGAAAAUGUUUAAAAACAAAUGUU